UAACAUGCGCGGGCUUGAGGUGAUUGCCGGCCCCGCCGGCGAUUGAAACGGGAAUCCGGUGCGCCAGUCCUUCCAACGAAGCGACGGCUAUUCCGGAGCUGCCCCCGCAACGGUAAGCAAGACGAACGAUCCGCAACGAAGCCACUGUGCGCAUGCAUGGGAAGGCGCGGAUCGGAGGGCUGGAGGCCCUCGCUUGCGAGCCCGGAGACCGGCCUGAGGCUGACCCGACAC
RNAcentral lists this non-coding RNA (231 nucleotides) under Lysobacter sp. The record is from RNAcentral. Lineage: Bacteria; Pseudomonadati; Pseudomonadota; Gammaproteobacteria; Lysobacterales; Lysobacteraceae. RNAcentral also lists the same sequence under 1 other name.